GGGUAACUCAUUGCUUCCAGUGUGCCGAAAAAAAAGGUCACUCCUUUUCACUUCCACUUCUUCAUUUAUUUAUUUAUUUGUUUAUUUCCUGUUUGGUGAGCGGGAAAAUGGUGGAAAGUGAGAGAGAAAUGAGAUGAUUUGUUAUUUUAUUUCUUUAUAAUCAUUGCUUAAAGAAUAAGAAACAAUAAAUACUUAGAAAAACUCAUUUGAAAUUGUAGCUAACUGGUUUUUUAGGCUCAGGUUAAGCAUUCUGAAUUUCAAAACCCUUUCUUUAUCUUUCUAGGUGACUAAAAGAGCCUACACCUUGUCAAUAUCUAAUGGCAAAAUCCACACAUUUGGUUGAUAAAUGUGAUUAGGGUUUGAAAUGUUGAUUUUAAUGCAUGCAAUAGCCAUAAUUUGAGUUAUUAUAUCAUGGUAACUGUUGGGAACAAGCAGUAUAUAUUUGAGGCAUUAAGAAAUUACAUGUAAAAAUUAAACUACUUUAGGUUUUCUUUAUUUCUUGUGACAUGCAGCAUUUUAUGUCUUUGAGCAUUCAUGUGGGGUUUCUCUUCAAUCUGUAGUUACUGUGAAUUAGGCCAUUAAUAUCAUAGUGAGUUUCAUUUAUAAAUUUCAUUCUGAUCUUUAAUCCUCACUUGUUAUAUAAUAUAUUCUCUUCUUCAUAUUUGGUUCGAUCUAACUUUGUAUUGUUGUUAUUACCUAUAGUUCUGUUUUAUUUUGGCUGAUGUUGUAGGCAUCUGUAGAAUGAAGUUGUAAAAGAGAUCUAAUAUAGCAACCACAACUAGUUGACAGUUUGGUCCUAAACAAAGUUAAAUGGGAGAAAGGAUUCAUGUUGUGUGAAAUUGUUUUGGGAUUGUGAUGCAGUCAAGGAAGACUAGAUUUAGGAAUUAUUUCAUUUAAUUUUUCAUUGUAAAAUUAGGAAUUUUAGGUUUCUAUCAAUUGGGAACUUAUAUUAUUUAGGACUUUAUUAUUAUUUAGGAAGUAGUAU
This 985-nucleotide unclassified non-coding RNA is filed under the name Hevea brasiliensis (rubber tree). Lineage: Eukaryota; Viridiplantae; Streptophyta; Magnoliopsida; Malpighiales; Euphorbiaceae. The record is from RNAcentral.